Molecule: non-coding RNA, 950 nt
Filed under: Colletotrichum chlorophyti
Lineage: Eukaryota; Fungi; Ascomycota; Sordariomycetes; Glomerellales; Glomerellaceae
Description: Bacterial large subunit ribosomal RNA
Rfam family: Bacterial large subunit ribosomal RNA
Source: Rfam by way of RNAcentral
UGCGGUCUUGCAUGAAUGAUGUAACGAUACAACAGCUGUCUCUAUGAUUGACUCAGUGAAAUUGGAAUAACUGUGCAGAUACAGUUUACCUCUAGUUAGACGAGAAGACCCUAUGCAGCUUUACUGUUACUAAUUAUUGGGUAUGAUGAAUUAAUUUUCAGAUUAUAAGGUAAAUUGGUUAAUAAAAAUGAAAAUCCUUUAUUUUCGCAUCAUACUUCAGAGUCUCUUGCUUGUUGAAUACUAAUUCAGUGGGCGCUUCUGGCUUCAGUGGGCGCUUCUGGCGCCAAUACAGAAGCCCAAAUGAGAGAUAGCCUCAGUUCUGACUUUUAAGUAGCCUUAGAAAGGAAUAUAUGGUUAGGAGACAGUUUAUGUGGGGCACAGACCCCUUAAAGAGUAAAAGGGAGUGUCUAAAAAUUAUUUGUUAUAGGCACAAGCUUGGCUUCGCUUAGCUUGGCCGUAACGUUGUUUGUGGUUUUAUGUAGUUUUACUAUAUUUAAUCUUCUAAAAUUAUUUCUAUCUACCCUCGCUGUAGAUACGAAUGGAUAUUUAGGUACGUUUUUCACUAUAGUGAAAAUAGCGGUAUAAUAAAAAAUAUUAUGAAUAAAUUUUCUAAUGUUUUUUGAGUUAUUAAGAGAUUUCUUAAUAGUCAUGAUAAAUACCUGAAAAGCUCAACGGCUAAUUCGUGCCAUACUGUUUGAUUAACAACAAAUCUUACAGUUGCGUAAGCAGGGCAUAGGAUCACAAGAUGCAAAAAGGAAAGAUCUUGGAUUAUUGGAAAAGCUACGCUAGGGAUGUUUGUCCUUCAAUAUUUUAAGCUAUCUUUGGCUGCGACUACCAUCUCGCCUGCUACCGCGAACCCCAUUCCCGGCAAAGCACCCCCUGACCCCCGUCCCGUUUUCCCCCCUCUCUCUUUAUGAGAGAGGGGGUAUAAGGGAAUGGGGUAUGGGGUA